CACCUGAUACGUACACAUAUAGGUGUCAUUCAUACAUACCUGUCGACUGAUUCAUCAUUUUUCCCCUGAUCUACCAGCAGCAUCAUCAUCAUAAUAAAAUAUUUCGCUGCUUUUUGUAUUUCAUUUUUAUUU
Molecule: non-coding RNA, 132 nt
Organism: Caenorhabditis elegans
Lineage: Eukaryota; Metazoa; Nematoda; Chromadorea; Rhabditida; Rhabditidae
Source: Ensembl